GUAUGCCCAUGUCCUCUUUCAGCCACGACUCUGAGAAUCAUAGGAUAUUACAGUUGUUCAGGUCCUCUUGAAAGGAUAGUCUCGAACUGAUCUCAUCGAUUAUGUUCUCCAGUAACUGCACAUUUGCCAAAAGAACAGAGGGCAAUGGUGGUCUAUUUGCUCGCCAACAUAAUCUUGUCAGGAUGCCGCGUCACCUGCCUCUCUUUCUGCAUGCUUCUUCCUCCGAGUCCCAUGAGAGAGUAAGCAGAACGUCCAGAGCUGCCGACUCGUUGAAGUAGAUAUUCUCGUCCACAUCGAGCCAGGUAACCAGACUGGAGGGAGAAGAUAAUACAUUUGCUAUAGAGGACAGACUGGAGGACCCACUUUUCAUCCACUUGACUCCAGAUGACCAAAUGAUGAUAGCCAGUUAAUCAAUGGAGCUGACCUUUGCAUACGGCCCCUUGCUGGGUGAUUAAAGCCAAGUCUCAACACAGAGGGAUUGUGAGGGAGGGAGGGAGCGUGGAGAAACAGCCAUCCAGAUGGGGAGGAGAAUAGGACGACCGCCCGCUGCUAUGUCAUUUCCAUCUCUUCCUGCCUACUUCUCCAAUACUUUUUAUUGAAGGACCUCAUACAGACUCAGAGGAUUCACAGGUAAUGGUUUAUUGUCUAUAGUCUUAAUCUUACAUUGCUGUUCUGUUCUAUUCGGAUGUGAUGUGUGAAAUUCUAUGAGAUACUACAAAAAACACAGAGAGAGAGUGUGAGAGAGUGAGAGAGAGAGAGAGAGAGAGAGAGGGCAGAAAGAAAGAAAUAGGUGAAAAGAGUGUUUAGCCUAUGUGAAUGUUUUACGUCAGGUUGGCGACGUAUCCAACUUUUCAGUCCUUUUGUUAAUGCCAGGACUUUUGUUAAUACAAGCAUAAACAACAUGGUAGAUAGGGGGGGGAUAGGCAGGGUUGCUUUCAGGCCGUACGGUGUGGUUUGUAUGUGUUCUGUGCUCUAUACUGUGAAGCAGGCAGGAUGGUUGUACGGUGUGGUUUGUAUGUGUUCUGUGCUCUAUACUGUGAAGCAGGCAGGAUGGUUGUAAUUCACACUUCAUUCCUGCUAAACCUAACCAUAAUCCCUGAGUGCCUUUCCCUGGCCCCGCUCCAAAACGCUCUUAACAAAAAUGUCUUUGGUGGAUGAAUACCAGGGAAGGAGUGUCAUGGAGGUGAAAGAUUUAUAAUGUGAACGGCACAAACUUCCUCGUAAAUCAAAGCAAAUGCUUUCAGGUAGCAGGUCUGGCAUUUAUGCAAGCCAAGCUGAGCAGGAGCAAGAGAGUGAGGAUGGGAGAGAGAGAGAUGCGGGAGAGAGAGAGAGAAAGAGAAUGAUGGUGGUCAGGGUGUGGUGUACGAAGGCCUGGAGGGGAUCACAGGAGUGAAGGGGAGAUAAAUAAAAAGAAAGAAGGAGAGGAAAAAGAAUGUGUACAAGGGUCAGGAUUAAAAGAGACUCCUGUAUAGUCACACUGUUUCUUCUCGCUAUUUAACGGUGCUGGAAUGUUGGAUAAGAUGGAACUCUUAUUGCUGAAUUGCUUGCCCUUCCUUCUUGGACUGCACUUUGUUUACCCUUUCUUAGUCAACGGAGCAGAUUCAUCUGAAACAACGUCUGAACGUGUCUCUCUCAGAGUCAAAGGUUUUUUGUUGGUAUUGAAAAAGCUUCUUUUUUUUUUUAAAGACAGAGAGCCACGUCGGGUGGCAGACACAGACACACUGCCACCCAUUAGCCUACAACAGCAGCUUGAGAAACAGGGCAGACAUUUUGGGUGUCUAUGCAGAAAUGAUGGAAAUAUGUUCAAACGUCUGUAGACGUCCCUAACCCCCACUCCACUCCAUACACUCACAGCUCCCUAAUUAUCCGCGUCUAUCUAACUGCUAACUGAAAGCCACAGGUGAUGUACAUAAUGGGUAAAGACCUGGGCUGCAUGCCAAUGGGCCCUGGUCAAAAGUACUGCACUAUACAGUGCAAGAGGCGUCACUGCAGUCCCUGGUUCGAAUCCAGGCUGCAUCACAUCCGGUCGUGAUUGGGAGUUCCAUAGGUUGGCCCAGCGUCGUCCGGGUUUGGCUGGGGUAGACCGUCAUUGUAAAUAAGAAUUUGUUCUUGACUGACUUGCCUAGUUAAAUAAAGGUUAAAUAAAAGUAAAAUACAAAAUAAAUAUAGGAACUAGAGAGCCAUUUGGAGUGCACAACUGGCGGCCACAGACAGACAUGGACAGCGUGUGUAAAUGUCCUUCUGACACUGUGUCUUGAGAGGUGAACUGAAGAACACGCCAUCCGUCCAAAUGACCAACCAGCUCUGCAGUCUAACCGGCUCUAGUCUGGGGUUAAACUUCAAUGUUUCAGGGUCUAUUCUUUCCUCCUGACUCUUUUAACAUGGACAGCUGGAUGGCUGUCAGGGUGCGCCCCAAAUGGCAUCCUAUAUCCGACAUAGGGCAGUACUUUUGACCAGGCCCCUGGUGCACUAUAUAGGUAAUAGGGUGCCAUUUGGGAUGCUCACUCUGUGAAUGAGAGCGGGGGACUCUGUCUCUUCACAGGUCUCACCCGAAGAGCGCCUUGAGAGUGCAGGUAAUUAAAGAGUACUGUGUGCAAAUGACAAACUCCCGUUAUGACACGCAGACAGGACUAGAAAGAGGUAUUUUUUUUCAUGAUGUUGAGAAGUAUCGCUAGCUAUGCUGGCUCCUUGUAGGUUUAUGUUGGAUAGGCUGGUUCUCUCUGGUCUGGUCUUAAGGGAGCAGCAGCGUGAUUAUCUGUGAUGAUUUAUUUGUAAAAAACGACAAACUGUGUUUCUUUUUGAGGCCUGUAAUUUACUGUCAUUCUUAUGUCAAGGUCUGGUGACUGACAUUAGCACAACAAAGGUCAAAGGGUAAUGAACAUCUCCCAACAGAUUGGUCACAUUCCAGGUCGACUACAUUUCAGACGUUGUAUCAUUGCAUCAACCAAUGGUUGUGCACCACCGCCUUCACCUGCACAGUCGGGAAUCAGAUUGGUAUAUCAUGGGAUGUUGUGUGAUCUGCCAUGCGUCUGCGAUGUAGUUAGCUUGGAACGUGACCGUUAUGUACUGAUUGAACAAGAUUGGAGACUUCUCUGGACCUGGUUUAUGUGGUGCGGCCCUAUGGGGCAUGAUGCUUCUAAUACCAUUGGUGUGGGUUUUAUUCCUGCAUGCUGUAUAUCCUGUGGUGGUCGGUGCCGUUUAAGAUGAGGGAGGACAAUUGUUUUUUAUGAACAUGGCCUUAUUUCUAUUACAGCAUAUUGGAUGACUGUCAUUCAUAUUCCAUUCACCCAGUUCAAUGUAACAUUGAUAGGUUUAGGCUACUACAUGAUACUUGAAUUGUCCCUAUACCCAUCAUGAGGUUACCACAACCUAGCCUAUGAACGAAAGAUUACAACGUAGGUGCAGACAGAUCGAGAGAAACGUUUGAGAUGAUAGACAGUGACACAUGGACAGACUGUGAAACAUUCAAUACCGGCUUGCACACUCUUGCCUGCAUCUAGCUGAUCUAGGGUGUAAUCAUUAGUCCAACAGUUGCAAACGAGAGUUUCUAUUGGACAAAUUCAGGUAUUUUUUCCCCAGGUAUUUUUAGGAUACGUUUUUCAACAGAAUAGGUGGAAUGAAUACACCCCUGAUCAUGCAUAAACAAAGUUCACUUUCAUAGCAGCCAUGUUGUAUUCCCUCUCACAUUUUCCAAUCGUUUGUGGACUUCAAUGAACAACACAUCAGCUGUAUGUGACCAGGCGAAAAAACCUUUCCAAGCUAAACCAUGUCAUAACCACUACACACAGCCUACAUCAUGGUCCCCAUAUUAGCUAAAGUAACAUCCUAGUCAACAUAGCUAAUAGAACUAAUACGUUAGUAAACCCUCUACAAUCAUGCAGUAACGUUACAGUGUUUAGUCAGUAAGCAGUAAGCAGUCCCCGGUGGCAAUAAAUGAAUUAAACCAAAAGCUUACCUUGAGUUGGAAGAGUUCCAGUUUUGUGUUGGAUAGUCAUAGCCAGAUAGCUAACAUAGAAUCCCUCUGUUUGAGUCGGGUGUUUGAGUAACUAAACUAGCCAACUGCAUUUGCUAGCUAAGUAAGUGAAACUGAAAAAAAAGACAAUUUCUCUCUCUCUCUCUCUCUCUCUUGCUUCUCCUUAAUUUUUCAAGAAAUGAAUUUGUUCUCUCUCUAGAGUCAACUACUCACCACAUUUUAUGCACCACAGUGCUAGCUAGCUGUAGCUUAUGCUUUCAGUACUAGAUUCAUUCUCUGAUCCUUUGAUUGGGUGGACAACAUGUCAGUUAAUUCUGAAAGAGCUCUGAUAGGUUGGAGGACAUCCUUCGGAAGUUGUCAUAAUUACUGUGUAAGUCUAUGGAAAGGGGUGAGAGCCAAAAGCCUCCUAUGUUAUGUAUUGAAGUCAAUUUAAAUGUAAUCUUUAUUUAACUAGGCAAGUCAGUUAAGAACAAAUUCUUAUUUACAAUGACGGCCUACCCCGUCAAACC
Long non-coding RNA from Salvelinus fontinalis (brook trout), 4482 nucleotides. RefSeq lists it as uncharacterized. Lineage: Eukaryota; Metazoa; Chordata; Actinopteri; Salmoniformes; Salmonidae. The record is from RefSeq and is a predicted model, not a curated record. The transcript is spliced from 3 exons.